This 455-nucleotide transfer-messenger RNA is filed under the name Candidatus Endomicrobiellum calonymphae. It matches the Rfam family "transfer-messenger RNA". Rfam says of the family: Bacterial tmRNA, also known as 10Sa RNA or SsrA, is named for its dual tRNA and mRNA-like properties. Lineage: Bacteria; Pseudomonadati; Elusimicrobiota; Endomicrobiia; Endomicrobiales; Endomicrobiaceae. The record is from RNAcentral.
GGGGGUGAAUGGGGUUCGACGGGAACGAUUGAUGUAAUGACAGCAGGUCGGAGUUAGUCGAUGGCUCCGUAAAAAUCGACUAAAAAAUAAACAACAAUAAUGAUUUUACUUCAAUGCAGAGUUUUAAAAUUCUAGGAUUGGGAAUGUUCUUGUUGGCUCUUCUUGGAAUAAAAAAUGGUUUUAAGGACUUUAGGAGUCUUAGAGAAAUGCCAAUAGCUGCUUAGAACAAACAAGUCGUAUUUUAUUUUGGGCGUCUGCUGUAAGAGCAAAACUACAAAGGGCAAGUUGGUUAUUGGCGAUUUGUGUCGUAGGUUCAAAAUGAAUGAAAGAGUAGCAGUUUAUAACGUGAUCUUGUCUGGAAGUAGCGUUGUAUGAUGAAGAAGUUCCAGAUUAAACCUGUAGCGGUCUUACUGAAACAUUUUCGGACGCGGGUUCGAUUCCCGCCACCUCCACUC